Molecule: ribosomal RNA, 274 nt
Filed under: uncultured bacterium
Lineage: Bacteria
Description: partial 16S ribosomal RNA
Rfam family: Bacterial small subunit ribosomal RNA
Source: RNAcentral
AUACGGAGGGUCCAAGCGUUAUCCGGAUUCAUUGGGUUUAAAGGGUCCGCAGGCGGGAAAAUAAGUCAGUGGUGAAAGCCUACAGCUCAACUGUAGAACUGCCAUUGAUACUGUUUUUCUUGAGUAUAGAUGAAGUGGGCGGAAUAUAUCAUGUAGCGGUGAAAUGCAUAGAUAUGAUAUAGAACACCGAUUGCGAAGGCAGCUCACUAAACUAUUACUGACGCUCAGGGACGAAAGCGUGGGGAGCGAACGGGAUUAGAAACCCUAGUAGUCC